CUCACAAGAAGGAUGCAUUAUGGGUGAAAUGGAUUCAUACAGUCUAUAUCAAACAGCAACAGUGGGAGUCCAUAAAUAUUCCUAAACAAGCCAGUUGGAUGGUCCGGAAGAUCAUGGAAGGUACUGUUCUAUUGCAGCAAUACCAACUGUUACACAAACCAGCAUGCUCUAUAAGAAUGAUCUAUCUUCAACAGAUUGGACAGUUACCUAGAGUCAUUUGGAAGAACUUAACCAUACAAAAUCUUGCUCGACCUAAAGCACUUUUCAACCUUUGGAUGCUCCUACAAGACAGACUUCCUAAGAAGAUCAUGGAAUGUACUGUUCUAUUGCAGCAAUACCAACUGUUACACAAACCAGCAUGCUCUAUAAGAAUGGUCUAUCUUCAACAGAUUGGACAGUUACCUAGAGUCAUUUGGAAGAA
RNAcentral lists this long non-coding RNA (421 nucleotides) under Nicotiana benthamiana. Its description in RNAcentral is "long non-coding RNA (NBEN_LNC015400)". The record is from RNAcentral. Lineage: Eukaryota; Viridiplantae; Streptophyta; Magnoliopsida; Solanales; Solanaceae.